This is a non-coding RNA of Odocoileus virginianus texanus, 496 nucleotides long. Lineage: Eukaryota; Metazoa; Chordata; Mammalia; Artiodactyla; Cervidae. The record is from RefSeq and is a predicted model, not a curated record.
UGGAGGGAACAAAAAAUAGACAUAACUCAUGAGGUGGAUGAUAUGUGGAACAUAUUGAUGUUCCACAAACUGAUGAAUCAGAGACAAUCAAUCACUGUGACAUAGAAAACCAGGACACAACAGACAUGGGACACACAGGUAUUGAGGGCCUUGACCCUCUCUUCUCUGGAGGCAAUGCUCAGGACACUCGAGUAUCAACACAUAGGAGAUGAAAAUAAUCACAGGAUCCAGCAUAGAUAUAAGGACUACAAGGACCACUGGAUACAGUUGAUUGAAGUUAUUACCAUAGAAAUGCAGUUCCACGUUCAAGGUAUCACUCCAAAUGUAUAUUCUCAGAAUUCUUUCUUAUAGAAAAGGAAAUUUGGGCACGCAGAAAGACACCAGGGGAAAAAACAUGUGGAGACACAGGGAGAAGAUGGCCAUCUCCAAGCCAAGGAGAGAGGCUUCAGAAGAAACCAACACUGUUGCCAGCUUGAACCUGAAUUUUUAGCUUCCA